Molecule: non-coding RNA, 223 nt
Organism: Pelobates cultripes (western spadefoot toad)
Lineage: Eukaryota; Metazoa; Chordata; Amphibia; Anura; Pelobatidae
Source: the annotation of a GenBank genome assembly
AAAUACCAAAUUUUAAAAAACAUUUUCUUACAGGAUGAAGUCUUACCUUAAAUGAAUCACUGGGAAGGCAGUUGGUGACUUCCCAGUUAUUUCUGUCUCUGUAGGUACACGAGACGCUAAUGCUGCUCUGUACAAUUCACUAUCGGACAUAUGAUCUGUCCGUGUUCAUGUAGAGAAAGCUUCCUUUCCUGCCAUGUUCCAUUAUUCGUUCCCUUGAUUCAUC